UACGUAGGGGGCAAGCGUUGUCCGGAAUCAUUGGGCGUAAAGAGCUCGUAGGCGGUCUGUCGCGUCUGCCGUGAAAACCCGAGGCUUAACCUCGUGGCUUGCGGUGGAUACGGGCAGACUAGAGGUAGGUAGGGGAGAAUGGAAUUCCCGGUGUAGCGGUGAAAUGCGCAGAUAUCGGGAGGAACACCGGUGGCGAAGGCGGUUCUCUGGGCAUGAUCUGACGCUGAGGAGCGAAAGUGUGGGGAGCGAACAGG
This 254-nucleotide ribosomal RNA is filed under the name uncultured bacterium. Its description in RNAcentral is "partial 16S ribosomal RNA". It matches the Rfam family "Bacterial small subunit ribosomal RNA", at positions 524 to 776 of the family's 1533-position model. The record is from RNAcentral.